UACGUAGGGCGCAAGCGUUAUCCGGAAUUAUUGGGCGUAAAGAGCUCGUAGGUGGUUCGUCACGUCGGAUGUGAAAAUCUGGGGCUUAACCCCAGACCUGCAUUCGAUACGGGCGAGCUAGAGUGUGGUAGGGGAGACUGGAAUUCCUGGUGUAGCGGUGGAAUGCGCAGAUAUCAGGAGGAACACCAAUGGCGAAGGCAGGUCUCUGGGCCAUUACUGACACUGAGGAGCGAAAGCGUGGGGAGCAAACAGG
This 253-nucleotide unclassified non-coding RNA is filed under the name uncultured Sporichthyaceae bacterium. Its description in RNAcentral is "contains 16S-23S intergenic spacer region". It matches the Rfam family "Bacterial small subunit ribosomal RNA", at positions 524 to 776 of the family's 1533-position model. The record is from RNAcentral. Lineage: Bacteria; Bacillati; Actinomycetota; Actinomycetes; Sporichthyales; Sporichthyaceae.